UUGAUUAGCUACUAGUCUAUUUACUCUCUGGAUAAAACAGCGGCUUUGGAGUCCAUUAAUUUGGUGAAAAUAUCGUUUCAGGCGUCUAUCAAUUGAUUGACGAUCUGAUUGUUGCUCUUCAACAU
Molecule: small nucleolar RNA, 125 nt
Organism: Papaver somniferum (opium poppy)
Lineage: Eukaryota; Viridiplantae; Streptophyta; Magnoliopsida; Ranunculales; Papaveraceae
Product: small nucleolar RNA snoR111
Exons: 1
Source: RefSeq, a predicted model, not a curated record